CACACCCCCUCCAGGCACUCAAGGGGAGAGGGAAGGGAAGCAGCCAGACCCUCCUGGACACACAGCUUGACCCUGGUAAUUCUAAUGUAGCACUUCAUCCAGACAGCAACUUCAACAAGCAGAAUGUGUUCUGUCACUCUUUGGACAAUUUCAUCAAUACUCAAUCCUGACAAGUUUCCUGGCCCGUGCUCUCACACUCUGGCAGCUGGGUGACUCCAGGCUGACAGGAGAGCGAUCCCGACAAUGGAGGAGAGGAAG
Panthera uncia (snow leopard) is the source of this 258-nucleotide long non-coding RNA. RefSeq lists it as uncharacterized. The record is from RefSeq and is a predicted model, not a curated record. The transcript is spliced from 3 exons. Lineage: Eukaryota; Metazoa; Chordata; Mammalia; Carnivora; Felidae.